GGACGAACGCUGGCGGCGUGCUUAACCCAUGCAAGUCGAACGGAAAGGCCCUGCUUUUGUGGGGUGCUCGAGUGGCGAACGGGUGAGUAACACGUGAGUAACCUGCCCUUGACUUUGGGAUAACUUCAGGAAACUGGGGCUAAUACCGGAUAGGAGCUCCUGCUGCAUGGUGGGGGUUGGAAAGUUUCGGCGGUUGGGGAUGGACUCGCGGCUUAUCAGCUUGUUGGUGGGGUAGUGGCUUACCAAGGAUUUGACGGGUAGCCGGCCUGAGAGGGUGACCGGCAAAAUUGGGACUGAGAGACGGCCGAGACGCAUACGGGAGGAAGAAGUGGGGAAUAGUGAAAAAGGGGCGGAAGCCUGAUGCAGCAACGCCGAGUGAGGGAGGACGGCCUGCGGGUUGUAAACCGCGGUCGCCUGUGACGAAGAGUGAGUGACGGUAAUGGGUAAAGAAGCAACGGCUAACUACGUG
Molecule: ribosomal RNA, 469 nt
Filed under: uncultured bacterium
Lineage: Bacteria
Description: partial 16S ribosomal RNA
Rfam family: Bacterial small subunit ribosomal RNA
Source: RNAcentral